CAAUGUCCAGGCUCUUUCAUAGCCUCCUUCCCUCCAGCUGCAAGUGUUAUUGAGUUUUUUCAGUCUCAUAGUCUCCUGGACUCUCAUUGUCUACUUAAUUUAGAGAAUUCAUCUUCAAGACAUUCAAGUUGUGAGUCAUGUUGUGGAUAAUCUUACAUCCAUGGGAGUAUAGUUCUAAAGUCUGCAUUGAUUCUGAAAAGGAGUAUGUUGUUAUGUGCACUCCUCCACUGUUGAUCUCAUUUGUGCUGUUUAACAUUGAAGAAGUGAAACCUGGAUUUGAAUGGAUCAUUUUGAAGUUUUGAAGGGCACUCU
Molecule: long non-coding RNA, 312 nt
Filed under: Physcomitrium patens
Lineage: Eukaryota; Viridiplantae; Streptophyta; Bryopsida; Funariales; Funariaceae
Description: long non-coding RNA (PPAT_LNC008279)
Source: RNAcentral